RNAcentral lists this ribosomal RNA (253 nucleotides) under uncultured bacterium. RNAcentral describes it as "partial 16S ribosomal RNA". It matches the Rfam family "Bacterial small subunit ribosomal RNA", at positions 524 to 776 of the family's 1533-position model. The record is from RNAcentral.
UACGUAGGGUGCAAGCGUUAAUCGGAAUUACUGGGCGUAAAGCGUGCGCAGGCGGUUAUGUAAGACAGAUGUGAAAUCCCCGGGCUCAACCUGGGAACUGCAUUUGUGACUGCAUAGCUAGAGUGUGUCAGAGGGGGGUAGAAUUCCACGUGUAGCAGUGAAAUGCGUAGAGAUGUGGAGGAAUACCGAUGGCGAAGGCAGCCCCCUGGGCCUGUACUGACGCUCAUGCACGAAAGCGUGGGGAGCAAACAGG